This 6284-nucleotide long non-coding RNA is filed under the name Homo sapiens (human). Its description in RNAcentral is "non-protein coding MALAT1:18". Lineage: Eukaryota; Metazoa; Chordata; Mammalia; Primates; Hominidae. The record is from RNAcentral.
UUGUUCUCCGUCUAUAAAUACGCCUCGCCCGAGCUGUGCGGUAGGCAUUGAGGCAGCCAGCGCAGGGGCUUCUGCUGAGGGGGCAGGCGGAGCUUGAGGAAACCGCAGAUAAGUUUUUUUCUCUUUGAAAGAUAGAGAUUAAUACAACUACUUAAAAAAUAUAGUCAAUAGGUUACUAAGAUAUUGCUUAGCGUUAAGUUUUUAACGUAAUUUUAAUAGCUUAAGAUUUUAAGAGAAAAUAUGAAGACUUAGAAGAGUAGCAUGAGGAAGGAAAAGAUAAAAGGUUUCUAAAACAUGACGGAGGUUGAGAUGAAGCUUCUUCAUGGAGUAAAAAAUGUAUUUAAAAGAAAAUUGAGAGAAAGGACUACAGAGCCCCGAAUUAAUACCAAUAGAAGGGCAAUGCUUUUAGAUUAAAAUGAAGGUGACUUAAACAGCUUAAAGUUUAGUUUAAAAGUUGUAGGUGAUUAAAAUAAUUUGAAGGCGAUCUUUUAAAAAGAGAUUAAACCGAAGGUGAUUAAAAGACCUUGAAAUCCAUGACGCAGGGAGAAUUGCGUCAUUUAAAGCCUAGUUAACGCAUUUACUAAACGCAGACGAAAAUGGAAAGAUUAAUUGGGAGUGGUAGGAUGAAACAAUUUGGAGAAGAUAGAAGUUUGAAGUGGAAAACUGGAAGACAGAAGUACGGGAAGGCGAAGAAAAGAAUAGAGAAGAUAGGGAAAUUAGAAGAUAAAAACAUACUUUUAGAAGAAAAAAGAUAAAUUUAAACCUGAAAAGUAGGAAGCAGAAGAAAAAAGACAAGCUAGGAAACAAAAAGCUAAGGGCAAAAUGUACAAACUUAGAAGAAAAUUGGAAGAUAGAAACAAGAUAGAAAAUGAAAAUAUUGUCAAGAGUUUCAGAUAGAAAAUGAAAAACAAGCUAAGACAAGUAUUGGAGAAGUAUAGAAGAUAGAAAAAUAUAAAGCCAAAAAUUGGAUAAAAUAGCACUGAAAAAAUGAGGAAAUUAUUGGUAACCAAUUUAUUUUAAAAGCCCAUCAAUUUAAUUUCUGGUGGUGCAGAAGUUAGAAGGUAAAGCUUGAGAAGAUGAGGGUGUUUACGUAGACCAGAACCAAUUUAGAAGAAUACUUGAAGCUAGAAGGGGAAGUUGGUUAAAAAUCACAUCAAAAAGCUACUAAAAGGACUGGUGUAAUUUAAAAAAAACUAAGGCAGAAGGCUUUUGGAAGAGUUAGAAGAAUUUGGAAGGCCUUAAAUAUAGUAGCUUAGUUUGAAAAAUGUGAAGGACUUUCGUAACGGAAGUAAUUCAAGAUCAAGAGUAAUUACCAACUUAAUGUUUUUGCAUUGGACUUUGAGUUAAGAUUAUUUUUUAAAUCCUGAGGACUAGCAUUAAUUGACAGCUGACCCAGGUGCUACACAGAAGUGGAUUCAGUGAAUCUAGGAAGACAGCAGCAGACAGGAUUCCAGGAACCAGUGUUUGAUGAAGCUAGGACUGAGGAGCAAGCGAGCAAGCAGCAGUUCGUGGUGAAGAUAGGAAAAGAGUCCAGGAGCCAGUGCGAUUUGGUGAAGGAAGCUAGGAAGAAGGAAGGAGCGCUAACGAUUUGGUGGUGAAGCUAGGAAAAAGGAUUCCAGGAAGGAGCGAGUGCAAUUUGGUGAUGAAGGUAGCAGGCGGCUUGGCUUGGCAACCACACGGAGGAGGCGAGCAGGCGUUGUGCGUAGAGGAUCCUAGACCAGCAUGCCAGUGUGCCAAGGCCACAGGGAAAGCGAGUGGUUGGUAAAAAUCCGUGAGGUCGGCAAUAUGUUGUUUUUCUGGAACUUACUUAUGGUAACCUUUUAUUUAUUUUCUAAUAUAAUGGGGGAGUUUCGUACUGAGGUGUAAAGGGAUUUAUAUGGGGACGUAGGCCGAUUUCCGGGUGUUGUAGGUUUCUCUUUUUCAGGCUUAUACUCAUGAAUCUUGUCUGAAGCUUUUGAGGGCAGACUGCCAAGUCCUGGAGAAAUAGUAGAUGGCAAGUUUGUGGGUUUUUUUUUUUUACACGAAUUUGAGGAAAACCAAAUGAAUUUGAUAGCCAAAUUGAGACAAUUUCAGCAAAUCUGUAAGCAGUUUGUAUGUUUAGUUGGGGUAAUGAAGUAUUUCAGUUUUGUGAAUAGAUGACCUGUUUUUACUUCCUCACCCUGAAUUCGUUUUGUAAAUGUAGAGUUUGGAUGUGUAACUGAGGCGGGGGGGAGUUUUCAGUAUUUUUUUUUGUGGGGGUGGGGGCAAAAUAUGUUUUCAGUUCUUUUUCCCUUAGGUCUGUCUAGAAUCCUAAAGGCAAAUGACUCAAGGUGUAACAGAAAACAAGAAAAUCCAAUAUCAGGAUAAUCAGACCACCACAGGUUUACAGUUUAUAGAAACUAGAGCAGUUCUCACGUUGAGGUCUGUGGAAGAGAUGUCCAUUGGAGAAAUGGCUGGUAGUUACUCUUUUUUCCCCCCACCCCCUUAAUCAGACUUUAAAAGUGCUUAACCCCUUAAACUUGUUAUUUUUUACUUGAAGCAUUUUGGGAUGGUCUUAACAGGGAAGAGAGAGGGUGGGGGAGAAAAUGUUUUUUUCUAAGAUUUUCCACAGAUGCUAUAGUACUAUUGACAAACUGGGUUAGAGAAGGAGUGUACCGCUGUGCUGUUGGCACGAACACCUUCAGGGACUGGAGCUGCUUUUAUCCUUGGAAGAGUAUUCCCAGUUGAAGCUGAAAAGUACAGCACAGUGCAGCUUUGGUUCAUAUUCAGUCAUCUCAGGAGAACUUCAGAAGAGCUUGAGUAGGCCAAAUGUUGAAGUUAAGUUUUCCAAUAAUGUGACUUCUUAAAAGUUUUAUUAAAGGGGAGGGGCAAAUAUUGGCAAUUAGUUGGCAGUGGCCUGUUACGGUUGGGAUUGGUGGGGUGGGUUUAGGUAAUUGUUUAGUUUAUGAUUGCAGAUAAACUCAUGCCAGAGAACUUAAAGUCUUAGAAUGGAAAAAGUAAAGAAAUAUCAACUUCCAAGUUGGCAAGUAACUCCCAAUGAUUUAGUUUUUUUCCCCCCAGUUUGAAUUGGGAAGCUGGGGGAAGUUAAAUAUGAGCCACUGGGUGUACCAGUGCAUUAAUUUGGGCAAGGAAAGUGUCAUAAUUUGAUACUGUAUCUGUUUUCCUUCAAAGUAUAGAGCUUUUGGGGAAGGAAAGUAUUGAACUGGGGGUUGGUCUGGCCUACUGGGCUGACAUUAACUACAAUUAUGGGAAAUGCAAAAGUUGUUUGGAUAUGGUAGUGUGUGGUUCUCUUUUGGAAUUUUUUUCAGGUGAUUUAAUAAUAAUUUAAAACUACUAUAGAAACUGCAGAGCAAAGGAAGUGGCUUAAUGAUCCUGAAGGGAUUUCUUCUGAUGGUAGCUUUUGUAUUAUCAAACUUUUUUCAGAUAACAUCUUCUGAGUCAUAACCAGCCUGGCAGUAUGAUGGCCUAGAUGCAGAGAAAACAGCUCCUUGACAGGUAUCUCUUCGUUAUCAGAAGAGUUGCUUCAUUUCAUCUGGGAGCAGAAAACAGCAGGCAGCUGUUAACAGAUAAGUUUAACUUGCAUCUGCAGUAUUGCAUGUUAGGGAUAAGUGCUUAUUUUUAAGAGCUGUGGAGUUCUUAAAUAUCAACCAUGGCACUUUCUCCUGACCCCUUCCCUAGGGGAUUUCAGGAUUGAGAAAUUUUUCCAUCGAGCCUUUUUAAAAUUGUAGGACUUGUUCCUGUGGGCUUCAGUGAUGGGAUAGUACACUUCACUCAGAGGCAUUUGCAUCUUUAAAUAAUUUCUUAAAAGCCUCUAAAGUGAUCAGUGCCUUGAUGCCAACUAAGGAAAUUUGUUUAGCAUUGAAUCUCUGAAGGCUCUAUGAAAGGAAUAGCAUGAUGUGCUGUUAGAAUCAGAUGUUACUGCUAAAAUUUACAUGUUGUGAUGUAAAUUGUGUAGAAAACCAUUAAAUCAUUCAAAAUAAUAAACUAUUUUUAUUAGAGAAUGUAUACUUUUAGAAAGCUGUCUCCUUAUUUAAAUAAAAUAGUGUUUGUCUGUAGUUCAGUGUUGGGGCAAUCUUGGGGGGGAUUCUUCUCUAAUCUUUCAGAAACUUUGUCUGCGAACACUCUUUAAUGGACCAGAUCAGGAUUUGAGCGGAAGAACGAAUGUAACUUUAAGGCAGGAAAGACAAAUUUUAUUCUUCAUAAAGUGAUGAGCAUAUAAUAAUUCCAGGCACAUGGCAAUAGAGGCCCUCUAAAUAAGGAAUAAAUAACCUCUUAGACAGGUGGGAGAUUAUGAUCAGAGUAAAAGGUAAUUACACAUUUUAUUUCCAGAAAGUCAGGGGUCUAUAAAUUGACAGUGAUUAGAGUAAUACUUUUUCACAUUUCCAAAGUUUGCAUGUUAACUUUAAAUGCUUACAAUCUUAGAGUGGUAGGCAAUGUUUUACACUAUUGACCUUAUAUAGGGAAGGGAGGGGGUGCCUGUGGGGUUUUAAAGAAUUUUCCUUUGCAGAGGCAUUUCAUCCUUCAUGAAGCCAUUCAGGAUUUUGAAUUGCAUAUGAGUGCUUGGCUCUUCCUUCUGUUCUAACUUCACAGAGAAUGCAGUUGUCUUGACUUCAGGUCUGUCUGUUCUGUUGGCAAGUAAAUGCAGUACUGUUCUGAUCCCGCUGCUAUUAGAAUGCAUUGUGAAACGACUGGAGUAUGAUUAAAAGUUGUGUUCCCCAAUGCUUGGAGUAGUGAUUGUUGAAGGAAAAAAUCCAGCUGAGUGAUAAAGGCUGAGUGUUGAGGAAAUUUCUGCAGUUUUAAGCAGUCGUAUUUGUGAUUGAAGCUGAGUACAUUUUGCUGGUGUAUUUUUAGGUAAAAUGCUUUUUGUUCAUUUCUGGUGGUGGGAGGGGACUGAAGCCUUUAGUCUUUUCCAGAUGCAACCUUAAAAUCAGUGACAAGAAACAUUCCAAACAAGCAACAGUCUUCAAGAAAUUAAACUGGCAAGUGGAAAUGUUUAAACAGUUCAGUGAUCUUUAGUGCAUUGUUUAUGUGUGGGUUUCUCUCUCCCCUCCCUUGGUCUUAAUUCUUACAUGCAGGAACACUCAGCAGACACACGUAUGCGAAGGGCCAGAGAAGCCAGACCCAGUAAGAAAAAAUAGCCUAUUUACUUUAAAUAAACCAAACAUUCCAUUUUAAAUGUGGGGAUUGGGAACCACUAGUUCUUUCAGAUGGUAUUCUUCAGACUAUAGAAGGAGCUUCCAGUUGAAUUCACCAGUGGACAAAAUGAGGAAAACAGGUGAACAAGCUUUUUCUGUAUUUACAUACAAAGUCAGAUCAGUUAUGGGACAAUAGUAUUGAAUAGAUUUCAGCUUUAUGCUGGAGUAACUGGCAUGUGAGCAAACUGUGUUGGCGUGGGGGUGGAGGGGUGAGGUGGGCGCUAAGCCUUUUUUUAAGAUUUUUCAGGUACCCCUCACUAAAGGCACCGAAGGCUUAAAGUAGGACAACCAUGGAGCCUUCCUGUGGCAGGAGAGACAACAAAGCGCUAUUAUCCUAAGGUCAAGAGAAGUGUCAGCCUCACCUGAUUUUUAUUAGUAAUGAGGACUUGCCUCAACUCCCUCUUUCUGGAGUGAAGCAUCCGAAGGAAUGCUUGAAGUACCCCUGGGCUUCUCUUAACAUUUAAGCAAGCUGUUUUUAUAGCAGCUCUUAAUAAUAAAGCCCAAAUCUCAAGCGGUGCUUGAAGGGGAGGGAAAGGGGGAAAGCGGGCAACCACUUUUCCCUAGCUUUUCCAGAAGCCUGUUAAAAGCAAGGUCUCCCCACAAGCAACUUCUCUGCCACAUCGCCACCCCGUGCCUUUUGAUCUAGCACAGACCCUUCACCCCUCACCUCGAUGCAGCCAGUAGCUUGGAUCCUUGUGGGCAUGAUCCAUAAUCGGUUUCAAGGUAACGAUGGUGUCGAGGUCUUUGGUGGGUUGAACUAUGUUAGAAAAGGCCAUUAAUUUGCCUGCAAAUUGUUAACAGAAGGGUAUUAAAACCACAGCUAAGUAGCUCUAUUAUAAUACUUAUCCAGUGACUAAAACCAACUUAAACCAGUAAGUGGAGAAAUAACAUGUUCAAGAACUGUAAUGCUGGGUGGGAACAUGUAACUUGUAGACUGGAGAAGAUAGGCAUUUGAGUGGCUGAGAGGGCUUUUGGGUGGGAAUGCAAAAAUUCUCUGCUAAGACUUUUUCAGGUGAACAUAACAGACUUGGCCAAGCUAGCAUCUUAGCGGAAGCUGAUCUCCAAUGCUCUUCAGUAGGGUCAUGAAGGUUUUUCUUUUCCUGAGAAAAC